AACGUAGGAGCCAAGCGUUAUCCGAAUUCACUGGGCGUAAAGCGCGUGCAGGCGGCUGGGUAAGUUGGAUGUGAAAUCUCCUGGCUCAACUGGGAGAGGCCGUUCAAUACUACCUGGCUUGAGGGCGACAGAGGGAGGUGGAAUUCCGGGUGUAGUGGUGAAAUGCGUAGAUAUCCGGAGGAACACCAGAGGCGAAGGCGACCUCCUGGGUCGUACCUGACGCUGAGGCGCGAAAGCCAGGGGAGCAAACGGG
Molecule: ribosomal RNA, 253 nt
Filed under: uncultured bacterium
Lineage: Bacteria
Description: partial 16S ribosomal RNA
Rfam family: Bacterial small subunit ribosomal RNA
Source: RNAcentral